GAAGCCUGAACUCGAGUAGGGCCCAAGCCAGCCAGGAAGGAGGAGGCAGCCAGAGUGUUCUCUGCAGCAGAAGACCCCCUGCUGCCCUGCUUAACCCAGACCAGCAUUUGCCAGAUGAAUGCAUGCAUCUCCUCCCUAAAAGAACUGUAUGGGUUACAAGAAACUGCUCAAAGCCCAAUGUUACACAUUUUCCUUUGUGCUAUUCAGUGGGGUGGAAGAAAUAUGUAUGCCAUCCUGAGCUCCUUGAAGAAAGGUGGGAUACAAAUGUCAUACAUGGAUAGAAAGACAGACAGACAGACAAAUUUCACUGCAAUUGCUGGAUGGGAAUUGUUUUAGCUGACUCAAGAUGUUCAUGAAGUUCCUAAACCAGCAAGAAGACUGCACGCAGAAGUACCUUCUGUGUACACAUGUGCAUUGCUGGACUGGGGUACCUGUGCUCAAUUUUAAAUGCUCAGUUUGUGAUCCAUUAUGAAAUCCUUGCUCAGGGCCAAUGCAAGCACAAUAAGAGAUUAGGUUUGGAUGUCAUAUUUUUAAAAGUCCAGCAGUAGUUGAAUCAAUGCCUAAAAUAGUCUCAGAACAGCUUGCCUUGUUAAAGGUGACCUACAAUUUUUCAGGCAGGCUUUCCGCAAGGGAGUCUAAAAGGGGACUCCAACAUGCAAUCAUCUGAAGCAUGUUCAUCUGCUUAGGGACUGAGCUGCAGUCGAGAUUCCAUACCCAUCGUUAAAGAAGGAAUUUAAUCAAAGACAGUUUUUGUGUAUACUGUAUUUUCCAAAGGCAAAUAAAUCCCCAGUACAGGCUCUUCAAUUAUUAAGCAAGGUGAUAAAAUAUGGUAAUAUUUAUUUAUUAUUAUUCUGUCCACAAUUUAGAACAAAAUGUAAUUUUUCACUAGUAUUCCGCUGGAGAUGAUCAGUGGCCUAAAGCAUGUUUCUUAUGAGGUAAGGCUAUAACACCUGGAGCUUUAGAAAAAAGAUGACUGAGGAACAACAUAAUUGAAGUCUAUAAAAUUAUGCCUGGUGUGGAGAGAGAGAAAUUUUUCUCCCUCUUGCAUAACACUAGAACCAGGGGUCAUCGCAUGAAACUGAUUGCCAAAAGAUUUAGGACAGACAAAAGGAAGUACUAUUUCACAUAAUGCAUAAUUAACCCAUGGAAUUCCCUGCCAAAAGAUGUGAUGACAGCCACCAGCCUGGAUGGCUUUAUGAAGGGCUUAGCUAAAUUCAUGGAGGACAAGUCUAUCAAUAGCUACUAGUCUGAGGGCUAUAGGCCACCUCCAGCCUAAAUACCAGUUGCAAGGGAGCAACAGCAAGAGAGAGGGAAUGCCAUCAGAUCUUGCCUGUGGGCUUCCCGAAGGCAUCUUGUGGGCCACUGUGUGAAACAGGAUGCUAGACUAGAUAGGCUUUGGGCCUGAUCCAGCAGGGCUGUUCUUAUGUUGGAGUGUUUCAGUCUUCUAACUUCCAUAGUCAAGCUUUUAGUUUAUAGUUUUAAAAUUUUAAGUGUUAGAGUUUUUAUCUGUAUUUUAAACUGUUUUAAUUGUAUUAAUGUUUUCAUUGUGUUUUCAGAUGGUGAACUGCUCAAGGAUUUGCAUAUGGGGCAGUAUAAAAAUGUGUUAGUUAGUUAAAUAAAUAGCACAAACUACCAUGCUUGUAGAUAAUAAUCUAAUCCAUCAUUCCCAUGGUUUCCCCUUUCUUUUGUUAGUAUCCUCUGAAAAAUAAAUGUGUAGCUUCUGGAUA
Molecule: long non-coding RNA, 1727 nt
Organism: Hemicordylus capensis (graceful crag lizard)
Lineage: Eukaryota; Metazoa; Chordata; Lepidosauria; Squamata; Cordylidae
Exons: 2
Source: RefSeq, a predicted model, not a curated record